RNA transcript from Malania oleifera, 3434 nucleotides. It is a transcript of the gene named cation/H(+) antiporter 18-like, with no coding region annotated. The transcript has 6 exons. Lineage: Eukaryota; Viridiplantae; Streptophyta; Magnoliopsida; Santalales; Ximeniaceae. The record is from RefSeq and is a predicted model, not a curated record.
AUAAAUAACGAAUAUUAUUGAAAUUUUAAAAAGAAAAAAGAAGAUAGGGGCUUUAAUUUUCGACGCUAGUUUCGUCAUCGCAAUAUUUUACACUGCCUUGGUAAGAAGGUAAAUAGAAACAUUUAACAGUGGCAAUAUUGGUAUUUCGAUAAAAAGAGUCUAUUUAAACGAAAUGCUUGCUGCCAAACAAACGGACCGUGUUGCUUCGUCUUCGUCGAUCGUCCCUUUCCCCAAUCUGAGGAAAAUUGCCGCGUUAAACGACACCUUCGCUCCUCCCUGCUGCGUCCAUUCUUGGACGUUCUUGAAGAUCCAACUCUCCCAAUACUUCACUUUCCCCCGGCAAUCAAUCAUCAGACGAAGAAUCAAGCUAUAAACUGUUGAUAAUCUCAUCCCAAAACAAUUUCAUCUCAAGAAUUUUCCGGACAAAAUUCAGGUAGGGAUUGAAUUGAGAAAUUGAAGUUGUCCAUAGUUUUGGGAAGCUGUACUGGGUCAAAACAUGGCCUCGGCUAAUGCAAGCAGUUGUCCGGCCCCAAUGAAGGCAACAUCAAAUGGGGUAUUCCAGGGAGACAACCCUCUUGAUUUUGCACUCCCUCUUGCCAUUCUUCAGAUCUGCUUUGUGGUUCUUAUCACGCGGUUCCUCGCCAUUCUUUUAAAACCUUUUAAGCAGCCUCGGGUGAUUGCUGAGAUUGUGGGUGGGGUACUGCUAGGACCAUCAGCUCUGGGACGCAGUGAGAAGUAUCUGCAUGCAAUCUUCCCAUCCAAGAGCCUCACUGUGCUGGAUACCUUAGCCAACCUUGGUCUCCUCUUCUUCCUGUUCCUUGUAGGCCUAGAGUUGGACCCCAAAUCCCUCCGCCGCACAGGUAAGAAAGCCCUCAGCAUUGCCCUUGCAGGAAUCAGCUUGCCAUUUGCAUUAGGAAUUGGUACCUCAUUUGCCCUCAGAGCAACCAUCUCCAAAGGUGUGGACGGUCCCCCAUUUCUUAUCUUCAUGGGGGUGGCUCUUUCCAUCACUGCCUUCCCUGUUCUUGCUCGAAUCCUUGCCGAACUUAAGCUCUUAACUACUGAUAUUGGCCGGAUGGCCAUGUCAGCUGCUGCUGUUAACGAUGUUGCGGCAUGGAUUCUUCUUGCUCUGGCCAUUGCCCUCUCUGGCUCUAAUAGUUCUCCCCUUACCUCUCUCUGGGUCUUCCUUUGCGGAAUUGGGUUUGUUAUCUUUUGCUCUGUUGCUCUCCCUCCAGUCUUCAGAUGGAUGGCGCAGCGAUGCCCGGAGGGUGAGCCGGUGGAAGAAAUGUAUGUCUGUGCAACUCUGGCAGCAGUCUUAGCUGCGGGGUUUGUCACAGAUGCUAUUGGAAUUCAUGCCCUGUUCGGGGCUUUUGUGGUUGGGGUUUUGAUGCCAAAAGAAGGCCCAUUUGCAGGUGCCCUGGUUGAGAAGGUUGAGGAUCUGGUAUCUGGCCUCUUCCUUCCUCUGUACUUUGUCUCGAGCGGCUUGAAGACCAAUGUUGCCAGCAUUAGCGGAGCUCAAUCAUGGGGCCUCCUAGUUCUGGUUAUAUUCACAGCCUGUUUUGGGAAGAUUGUGGGCACUGUUAUUGUCUCCCUCUGUUGCAGGGUGCCCUUUCAAGAGGCUCUAGCUCUUGGGUUCCUAAUGAACACUAAAGGCCUGGUGGAGCUCAUAGUACUCAACAUUGGUAAAGACAGGAAGGUAUUGAAUGAUCAAACGUUUGCCAUAAUGGUUUUAAUGGCUCUCUUCACAACUUUUAUCACUACCCCACUAGUCAUGGCCGUGUACAAGCCGGCUAAAAGCAAGAGUAAAGCUGCUGAUUAUAAGCAUCGAACAAUCGAGAGAAAAGAUACGAGUACUCAGCUAAGGAUCCUGGCAUGUUUCCACAGCACAUGGAACAUCCCUACCAUGAUCAACCUUGUUGAGGCUUCCCGGGGUACCGAAAAGAGGGAAGGACUCUGCGUCUAUGCAAUGCACCUCAUGGAGCUCACCGAGAGGCCUUCUGCUAUACUCAUGGUCCACAAGGCUAGAAAGAAUGGCUUACCCUUUUGGAACAAGGGACUGAACUCUGGCUCCAACCAAGUAGUUGUUGCGUUUGAGGCUUUCCGGCAGCUGAGCCGGGUGUCUGUCCGCCCAAUGACAGCAAUAUCUGCCGUCUCCAGCAUGCAUGAGGACAUCUGUGGGAGCGCAGAGAGGAAAAGGGCAGCAAUGAUCAUUCUCCCAUUCCACAAGCACCAGAGGUUGGAUGGAGGGUUAGAGACCACCAGAAUCGAGUUCCGGUGGGUGAACCGGAGGGUUCUUGAGAAUGCACCCUGCUCAGUGGGGAUUCUGGUGGACCGAGGGCUUGGUGGGAGCACCCAUGUCCCUGCCAGCAAUGUUUCUUCCCUCAUAACUGUUCUGUUUUUUGGAGGCUGCGAUGAUAGGGAAGCUCUGGCUUAUGGGGCACGAAUGGCUGAACAUCCCGGGAUUAGUCUAGUGGUGAUUAGGUUCUUGAUAGAACCGGAGAUUGCUGGGAAAUCAACAGAAGUGGAUAUAUAUGACAACCAUGGAAAUGAAGCAAGGCCUGCAGAUGAAGAGUUCCUUGCUGGGUUCAAACAGAAGAUUUCCCGUGAGAACUCGGUUGGGUAUGAAGAAAGGCUGGUGAAGAGUGCUGCUGAAACAGUGGAUGUUGUUCGGGAGUUUAGCAAGUGCAAUCUGUUUGUUGUGGGCCGAAUGUCGGAGGGUGAGGUGGUUAAAGCUCUGGGUAACGGAAGGAGCGAGUGCCCGGAGCUUGGGCCGGUGGGCAGCUUGCUGACUUCUCCAGACUUUUCAACGUCAGCAUCAGUUUUGGUGGUGCAGCAGUAUCGCAGCCAGUUGGUUUUGGAUUCCUUAGAUUCACCAGGGGAAGCAGAGGUGCCUGGGAGAGACUCCGAAUCAAACUAGAACUGGUUGGUUUUGACCAAUUGUACAGCAUGUGUGGUGAUGAUGAAUGAUGGAAAUUCAGUAGGAUCAGCGAUCAGCUCUCUGUCUCCAUAUUUUUUGCUCUUCAUUUGGAGGUCUUUGAACUAUCUAUACCAUAUGGAUAUUAACUAAAUUCAGCAAAACAGAGUGCCCCGUGGUACGCUAUGCACUAGAGAACAUCAGACUCCAGAGAAUAAAGGCAGAUGAAAGACUCGAGAGAAAGGUGGAGAAACUGAGAAAUCAAUUAGUUUAGAGGUUCUCCAAAAACACUUUGCAGGGAGUCUUAAAGAUGCUGCAGAACCUCGGCGGAUGGAUAGCUAGUUGGUGUCAUGUAUUACCCCCAUAUGACUGGGUUGUGCGGUCCAAAGGCGAGAUCUAAUAAUGGCUGACCGACCAUGCUAGGUCAAAAACUCCGAUCUGUAAGUACGAUGGGUCUGCCCCACCUGGUCUCGACUGCUAGGGGAACAUCUCCAAACUACACUGAAGCCACAUCGACUGCCAC